RNAcentral lists this long non-coding RNA (853 nucleotides) under Cucumis sativus (cucumber). Its description in RNAcentral is "long non-coding RNA (CSAT_LNC000758)". Lineage: Eukaryota; Viridiplantae; Streptophyta; Magnoliopsida; Cucurbitales; Cucurbitaceae. The record is from RNAcentral.
GAAUUCUCUUGUCAUACUGCUUUGUUGACGCUUCUUAUUGGAUUUGCUUCUUGCUCGAGUGUUAAAUGUCUGGCCUUGUUAUUUGUUGAUUUCGUUUCUUACCUGUAAUUUUGCUGUUCUCGCGAUUGUAGUUGUUUUGUCUCUAAAGCUUGUAUAUUACUUUAUUUUGAGGAAGAAACUAUUUCGCUGAAAUAAACAAAAUAGGGGAGAGGAAAGCUUCAACUUGAGUUCUGGAAGCUACAAUUAAAACCUUCCAAUUAGGGAGAGAAGAAAAAUCGUGGUUACGGAAGAUCUGGAUGGAUCAAGAAAGAGUGAGAAAGAGCCAUAUGAUCCUGCAAAACAGAAAACAAUCGUCCAUCUCAUUAAAAAUGUUCUAUGGUUUCUUUGAAGCUAUAAAAUCCAAAAGGAAGCAGACAUGAAUUAGAUUCAUCUUCAUCCAGAUAGUCUUGACUUCAGCUUUGAAAGGUUUAUCAUCAAAACAGUAUAUACAGUAAGUUAACGAUAUUACUGAGAAGAGCUACUUGUCAAUUGAAAGAAUAAAAAAAUGUGCUAUAAUUUAGAAGCCAUCAAAGAAAAGAUGAAAAGGCGGUCUUGAGUUUUUUGGUUUUACUGCACAGCAUAUCAGUUUGGAGAGAUAUCUUUUGGUAUUCUUACAUUGGCACUUUAUCACAAGUACUAGUGCUAUUCGAAAGAAGCUUCCAUAGGAGAUCUUGACCAUCCUUGGAUAGGAAUUUUUCCAAAUCCUGUUGAAAAAUCGGCAAUCAAGGACUUUGGAUUAUGUUGAGGGGGUGAAGAAGUAGCCCAUCAGUCACCUUAGUUUAACCCUAUUGAGAGAUCGCAACCACUUCCCUCC